GUGGAAGCCUGAUGCUGUUGCAGCAUCUGUUAGGAUGUUUGUUGCUCGUGGUAUGGAGGUUAUUACCGCUCGGUCAUACGGUAAAAAUCUUGACCUUUAUGCAGAAAGGAUUGGAGCAAUAAAUGUUGUUUGCUUGUCACCAGAGGCUGCUGCAAGGUAAAGAGCCAACUGAAAAGAAUAGCUUGACCAAUGUACUCCAAUCCUCCUGUUCAUGGGGCGAGGAUCAUUGCCAAUAUCGUUGGGGAUUCAGCUCUCUUCAACUAAUGGAAUGCAGAGAUGGAAAUGAUGGCCGGGAGAAUUAAGAACGUGAGACAAAUUAUUCGACCGUCUUUCUUCCAAAGAUAAAAGUGGGAAGGAUUGGUCUUCGUUCUCAAGCAGAUCGGCAUGUUUUCAUUCACAGACUUAAACAAAGCUCAUAAUGGCCUGUUCCAACACAGAUACUCGAUAUGUGUUGGAUUUUAAUCUUUGUAUUAUGACAUUAUGUCUGUGUGUGUUUUCCCCUUAACAGUGCGAUAAUAUGACGAACAAGUGGCACGUAUAUGACCAA
Hibiscus syriacus is the source of this 547-nucleotide long non-coding RNA. RefSeq lists it as uncharacterized. The record is from RefSeq and is a predicted model, not a curated record. The transcript is spliced from 2 exons. Lineage: Eukaryota; Viridiplantae; Streptophyta; Magnoliopsida; Malvales; Malvaceae.